RNAcentral lists this ribosomal RNA (484 nucleotides) under uncultured organism. Its description in RNAcentral is "bacterial SSU rRNA". It matches the Rfam family "Bacterial small subunit ribosomal RNA", at positions 29 to 507 of the family's 1533-position model. The record is from RNAcentral.
AUUGAACGCUGGCGGCAUGCUUUACACAUGCAAGUCGAACGGCAGCACGGGCUUCGGCCUGGUGGCGAGUGGCGAACGGGUGAGUAAUGCAUCGGAACGUACCGUGUAGUGGGGGAUAACGUAGCGAAAGUUACGCUAAUACCGCAUACGCCCCGAGGGGGAAAGUGGGGGACCGCAAGGCCUCACGCUAUAUGAGCGGCCGAUGUCGGAUUAGCUAGUUGGUAGGGUAAAGGCCUACCAAGGCGACGAUCCGUAGCGGGUCUGAGAGGAUGAUCCGCCACACUGGGACUGAGACACGGCCCAGACUCCUACGGGAGGCAGCAGUGGGGAAUUUUGGACAAUGGGCGCAAGCCUGAUCCAGCCAUGCCGCGUGAGUGAAGAAGGCCUUCGGGUUGUAAAGCUCUUUCAGACGGAAAGAAAUCUCCCAGGAUAAUACCUUGGGAGGAUGACGGUACCGUAAGAAGAAGCACCGGCUAACUACGUG